RNAcentral lists this non-coding RNA (79 nucleotides) under uncultured Sutterella sp. RNAcentral describes it as "S-adenosyl-L-homocysteine riboswitch". It matches the Rfam family "SAH (S-adenosyl-L-homocysteine) riboswitch aptamer". The record is from RNAcentral. Lineage: Bacteria; Pseudomonadati; Pseudomonadota; Betaproteobacteria; Burkholderiales; Sutterellaceae.
GCCGAGGAGCGCUGCGACGGGACCCAUCUCCCGCGAGGCUCGGCCCCGAGCACGAAACCUCUUCAAACGGCGCUCGACC